GCAAGUCGAACGUGAUCUAGCUGACGAUUUAUCAGAUGUUAGUAAAAGUGGCGGACGGGUGAGUAACGCGUGAGUAAUCUGCCUCAUACAGGGGGAUAGCCCUGAGAAAUUGGGAUUAAUACCGCAUAAGACCACAGUACUGCAUGGUACAGUGGUAAAAACUACGGUGGUAUGAGAAGAACUCGCGUCUGAUUAGCUAGUUGGUAGGGUAAUGGCCUACCAAGGCGACGAUCAGUAGCCGGCCUGAGAGGGUGGAC
This 257-nucleotide ribosomal RNA is filed under the name uncultured bacterium. RNAcentral describes it as "partial 16S ribosomal RNA". It matches the Rfam family "Bacterial small subunit ribosomal RNA", at positions 57 to 305 of the family's 1533-position model. The record is from RNAcentral.